Arabidopsis thaliana (thale cress) is the source of this 298-nucleotide non-coding RNA. Lineage: Eukaryota; Viridiplantae; Streptophyta; Magnoliopsida; Brassicales; Brassicaceae. The record is from RefSeq.
GCAGUUAAAACCCUAUAUAUUCAUGUAAAUUAAAGACUUUGCAAGCUGGAACACCAAGUGAAACACAUGCUACAAGUCUCAAUGCUUGCGAUUGGAUUGUGCUAAACGCAUUGGACCGUUGAAAAAUAUUACAAGGUAUUUCUACGAGAAGAAGAAGUAUCCCAAACUACUUUUCUUUGUAUAUAUAUAUUUGCUGUGUACAUAACAUAAUGGUCGCUUUUGGUGUUUUGAGAUUUGAGAAAUAUUAAAUUUCUGUUUGUUUCACAAUUCACGAAGAUUAUAUAAGGUCUUUUUGAAA